This 425-nucleotide ribosomal RNA is filed under the name uncultured bacterium. Its description in RNAcentral is "partial 16S ribosomal RNA". It matches the Rfam family "Bacterial small subunit ribosomal RNA", at positions 354 to 796 of the family's 1533-position model. The record is from RNAcentral.
GUGGGGAAUAUUGGACAAUGGGCGCAAGCCUGAUCCAGUCAUGCCGCGUGAGUGAUGAAGGCCCUAGGGUUGUAAAGCUCUUUCACCGGAGAAGAUAAUGACGGUAUCCGGAGAAGAAGCCCCGGCUAACUUCGUGCCAGCAGCCGCGGUAAUACGAAGGGGGCUAGCGUUGUUCGGAAUUACUGGGCGUAAAGCGCACGUAGGCGGACAUUUAAGUCAGGGGUGAAAUCCCGGGGCUCAACCCCGGAACUGCCUUUGAUACUGGGUGUCUGGAGUAUGGAAGAGGUAAGUGGAAUUCCGAGUGUAGAGGUGAAAUUCGUAGAUAUUCGGAGGAACACCAGUGGCGAAGGCGGCUUACUGGUCCAUUACUGACGCUGAGGUGCGAAAGCGUGGGGAGCAAACAGGAUUAGAAACCCUGGUAGUCC